AUUGAACGCUGGCGGCAGGCUUAACACAUGCAAGUCGAGCGGGGGAAGGUAGCUUGCUACCGGACCUAGCGGCGGACGGGUGAGUAAUGCUUAGGAAUCUGCCUAUUAGUGGGGGACAACAUCUCGAAAGGGAUGCUAAUACCGCAUACGUCCUACGGGAGAAAGCAGGGGAUCUUCGGACCUUGCGCUAAUAGAUGAGCCUAAGUCGGAUUAGCUAGUUGGUGGGGUAAGGGCCUACCAAGGCGACGAUCUGUAGCGGGUCGGAGAGGAUGAUCCGCCACACUGGGACUGAGACACGGCCCAGACUCCGACGGGAGGCAGCAGUGGGGAAUAUUGGACAAUGGGGGGAACCCUGAUCCAGCCAUGCCGCGUGUGUGAAGAAGGCCUUAUGGUUGUAAAGCACUUUAAGCGAGGAGGAGGCUACUUUAGUUAAUACCUAGAGAUAGUGGACGUUACUCGCAGAAUAAGCACCGGCUAACUCUGUGCCAGCCGCCGCGGUAA
RNAcentral lists this ribosomal RNA (501 nucleotides) under uncultured bacterium. Its description in RNAcentral is "partial 16S ribosomal RNA". It matches the Rfam family "Bacterial small subunit ribosomal RNA", at positions 30 to 523 of the family's 1533-position model. The record is from RNAcentral.